Molecule: long non-coding RNA, 4848 nt
Filed under: Nothobranchius furzeri (turquoise killifish)
Lineage: Eukaryota; Metazoa; Chordata; Actinopteri; Cyprinodontiformes; Nothobranchiidae
Description: lncRNA (ENSNFUG00015004636.1)
Source: RNAcentral
AUGAAUCUGGUGGAAAACAAAACUCUGCGCUCGCAUUUACGCGACGAGGAGGCUCUGGUGGUAGAAAACGCCGUCAGAUUAGCCAUAGACUCGGUAUUAAACGUGCUGUACGGGGUGAACAGCGCCAGGACUCGGGAGUACCAGCGGAUGGUGGCCGACAGGGACAAAGAGAUCCAGCGGCUGGAGAGUAGGCUGACGGAGCUGGAAAACGAGCUGCAGGUGCUGCGUCGACACGGCUGCACGUGCGGACUGUUCGAGAACAGAGUCCGGAGCUCCGGUAACCGGCAAACCGGAGAGCAGAGCGGGUUUGAAUCAGGAGAAGGGGACUGCGCAGGAUCAGGGCCACAGGAGUGUGAAAUGAGGUUGUCGUUGGGCGUUUUUGCACGACCCCCCUCUCACGUCUCCUCCCAAAGCCACGAGUCGGUUCUUCUGUCUUCCCCCAGCCAACUGGGCCUGGACCCGACCUACACCUCCCGCUCCUCCGAGGCUUCAGGUGUCACAGAGGCAGCCAGACACCUGACUACGCCUCCCAGCAGCCUCGUCGUCAAAGAAGAACCCUGUGAAGUGGAUGCUGUCCUAGUCAAGUGGGAGAUGAGUGAGGAGAGAGUCGCAGAGGCUCAGGAGAGGGCAGACGUCCUGUGUCAGGACGAUUCGAGUCUCGGCGUAAAACAAAAACCAGAAAGCAGUGCGAAGAAGAGCAAAGAGAAACCUCAAGCAGACCCUGGUGAAUUACACGUCAUCGGAGGGGAACAGCUAAGGAACAAGAAGAGGGUGGUGCCGAUGUCCGAGCUGCCGGAGGAGGCUCAGAGACUCAAGAGAGCCGCUUGGAGAGCAGCUUCCAAACGAUAUUAUGCUCGAAAAAUUGCCCGCCAACGAGCUAACCCCCAGCGCUCCGUCCCCGUUGCUCCCAUCACAAACUCCCGGGAAUUUCAGCCCAACUAUUUCAUGGACAGGAGGCGGAGGAUGCCGAUAUCGGGGUUACCCGAGGAGUCUCAGAUGCUGCAAAGGGAGGCAUGGAGAACCUCCUCCAGGAGAUACUACGCUCAGAAAGUGACUCGUCACCAGACUGGGAACAUGCAGAUCGGACACAUGGUUGAGAACCUGAACCCAUCUGGAGCCCCACAGGGGCCGACCAGGGAGGGGCUCCACGGUAACGGUGGGGGGAUCCUGUGCAGCUGAUCAUCUGGAGAUCCUCAGCUCUGAGAGACGUAACAGAAAGCAGGAGUUCUGCAUCAUGAUAAGGGCUCUCUGUGAGGCUAUCGCCAUGGUAACAGAGGCUAAACUCAUCACCUGGAAAGAGCUCAACCUGUUUGUUUGUUUGUUUUAAUAGAAAAUCUUCAAAAUUGUAUAAAAAAUAACUCAAUCUGCACAUCAGACAGCUUCGGAUUUAGUUAUUUAACCUUUAAAAAGCUGAUUUAAUAAUAAUCAUCAGAUCUAAUAAAAUAAGCCGCUGGUUUCUGGUCCUAGAUGAAAAAUCUUCUGUUCAGUGAUAAACCUCCUGCACUUGUUUAGCGCCUUUCUGAGAACCUUACCCCACGGAGAGUCAUUCUGAAGCCUGUUAUUUAUUUUGUUCCAGCAUCAGAAUUCUAAUAAACUCUACAAGCCACAAAGCUGCAAAAAUGUAAAACUGGUUAAAGUGUCAGGAUUGUUUCUCAGGAUACAACUAUAAAUGAAACCAGGUGUUUUUCAGGUUUUCCUAAACUUCUCAGACUGAAUCAUCCUCGCCUUCAUCAGAGAAUAUUUAAUAAUGGUUCCAGUGAUGUGAUGAGUUACACGUGAGGAUGAUCCGCUGAUCCAUGAAUUUGGACUGUCGGUAGGCCUGGGACGAUGAACGAUAUAAUGUCCCACAAAUUAUUAAACUAUAUUGUCGAGACCAAAAUAACCACUUAUGUGAUGUUAAUACAUCAUAAUAAUGCAAUUACACCCUUUAAAUUCAACAAUUAAAUAUUGAAAUUACAGAAGUGAAUUUUUUUCUGCAGCAAUGAAACGUCUGAGCUUCACUUGUUUCCUUUGAGGUCGUAGAGAUCUACGUUAUGGAUUGUAGAAAAUUUCUGAAAGUGCCGCUCUCUAGCCUUCACAUUUUUAUCCCUGCAAGGGUUCAUCCUUGUUCUGCGUCAGCUGCAGCUGACCCUAGCAACGCGACUCGUACACCUAAAACGGCGCUGAGGGGGUGUGGUUGACAUGCAGGUCACGUGUCUGACAAAGGCUGGUGUAUCAAGGCUGGAAAAAUUAUUGAGUUAAUUUUCAUCUAUUGUACGAUUAAUGGAUUUGAUCAGCCCUGUCCAUUGGUAUGAAAAACCUCUGAGAUGAAAAUGUUCUUAUAGUUGUAGUCUUCAGCAGCAGAGCCUCCACAAACCAGGACAAACAUCAUUUUAAGGUGUUUCUGAUCUUAUUUCAUUGUUCAUUUAAAACAAUCAUAAAUAUUAUUAAACAACCUGUUAAAAGAGUGGGGGAAAUGACAUACUUAACUAAUAUAUUUCUUGGGGGACAAGGCUGGGACAUGUGGCUAAACAUGUCCUUGUCCUUGACUCAGGAGGAGCAGAAACCUGUUAGCAGGAGGUAAACAAAGGCUUUGCUACUCUGUACUAGCCUAGUGAACAGAACUAGACCAAAUUCUUGCUUUGCAAAGUUUUAAAUAAUACAUUUAUUUAGUCUGGCUUGCCAGGCGAACUCCCAACUUGGUGUGUUUUCAUGUCUGUUCCAAACGGAGUGUGUUAUCAGGCUGAUCAGGUAAAUAUUUACAUGCAAAUUUCACAUAAAACCAAGUUUUUACAAUCAAGAAAAAUCUUAUUUUAGUCAGAUUAUUAGGUCCUCCUGAUCCGUGUGUGUGUGCGCGCGCGCUCGUGUGCAUGCAUGCAUGCUGCGCGAUUUCUGAUUAAAGCUGGGAGUUGGCUUGUUCCAGUGUGGCGCCCCCUGGAGUCCAGCACCUGCUUCUACAAGCUUUUUGAUUCAGUCUAAUAAAGUUCCCAGCUGAGUUUGUGUUAAUAAUCACUGUUUGUGUUUGGGAUACUAUGUACCGUUUCUAAAACGUUUUUGUGAAAAAGCUAAAUAAAUAUAUUUGAUUCAAAUGAAAACGAGUUUUUUAGGACAGUGUCUUUUUUUCAGUUCCUCCCAAAUUCUUUUCCACAUUUACAGAUCUAAACAUGUGAGAAACGAAAACAGCAGCAAUUUUUUUAAAGUUUAUUGAUUUUAUUGACAAUACAAUAAAAGAAAAACAUCUAAAUGAUGUGAGAAAACACAUUUCUAAGGUGUUAAACAUAGUGAAUCGUUUUUGCUCCAAUAACUAAAAAGAUUCAUGAGUUUUAGAAAUAAAUCUAAAUAAAAAACAAGGCUGUUUGUUUUCAUUUACCUGGUAUUUUGGGUGUGAGUUCUGUCAUCAGAGCCUCGUGUCUGCGGGUUUCAGACCAUCAACAAGCUCUCCUGCGUGCACACAAACACACACAGAAAAACAAAGAGGGGAUAAAAACCAGACGCGUCUUGCGCCACAUGCUUGUUACCAUGACAGCUGCACAUUCAGGCUGGCGCACAGCUGCUGAUCUUGCACAGGUCAAGUUCGCUCUUUAGCGUCACAUCUGACUGCAUGCUGCUGUUGAUUCCUCCAUAACUGAAACGUGAGCCGGUCUUCUCUUCUCUGCAGCUGCUGCGGCAGAUGCACAAACAGGCGCAAUGAAGCUGCGUCUGUUCUAAGUAAAGACUGGUGUGUUUGCGCCAUCAGCGCCGCGAUGCUCUCAGGCGCUGCUACGGACAUAAAGCGGCUUUUAUUUCUAAAGGACAGAGCUCUUUUAUGUCUGCUUCAUGCUGAUGUCAGACAGAACAGCAGCGCGCUGUUCCAUAUCAGAGAGGGGACGCAUGUGCGGGGGUCCAAUGCCCGCUGCGGGAUCGAGAUCAGGUCUGGGCAAGCGGGGAGGCCGACACCCAUCCCGACAGUCUGUUUUAUGUCUGAUCGUGUCUUUAUGUUGUGACUGAAUAUCCGGCUGGGUGGGGGAAGCAGGAUCCUGGAACGGGAACCAGCGUCAUUUGCAUGCGUUUUGUUUUGGAGGAAACAUCUCCAAACCGUCAAGCGGAGCUCCACCUGGGGUUUCCGCGGUUUGUCUGGGUGGAUUCUGUGUCUCGGAGCAGAAUCUGUGUGUUUUAUUUUAUUUUUCUGUGUCUGAAUGAGGCAACAGGCGAUGAGAGGACCGUGGCGCACGGACUGCGUUCACAGCUUGGACCGCUCCUCCCUGCUCCCCUUCAGGCGGACUCAUUAUUUCUCUUUUAUCAUCUGGAUUUAGGCUCCUGCAACACAUAUUAUAUUGUUUUUCAAAUUAAAAUGAUAAAUAUUUAAAAUAAAUUCCGAUUCAGUCGUCAGAGCUACGGCGCCAAUUUGAAUUUAGCACAGAUUUGACUCUGGAGCAGAUGUUCACAUUAUUUUAACACAUAUUCGAUUUUUUUCAAGAUAAAUGAUCAGUUUUGGACUAAAUGAUAAUGUUUGCCUUUAAAGUUGGAUGAGUGCAUCAUUUCUUCCCCUCUUGGAGCCUUUGGAGACUUUUCUGUGCCUUUGGAGACACCAGUGCACUUUUGGAGAGGUCUGCUCUGGAUCCGAUGCGCUCUUUAGAUAUCGUUGGAUUUUAUCCUCGUGGAAGCAUUUUUCUUCGCUUUUUUAGUCUAGUCCUCAAGAAAACACUCUCCUUUUUCUGUUAAGUCCCAUUAUUUUGGCAUUCUGAGCCUACCAGAGAUGCACCAACGUUUGGAAACGUACAGAACACAUUUGAAAGCUUCUCACUGUUCAGUUACGCACUCGGCCAAUAACAGCUCAUCUGAGAACUGCGUGACUAUUGGAUGGAGCACAAGAAGUGAAGUUUUCAAAGG